CUAAGGGUGUACGGUGGAUGCCUUGCUAAACACAAACGAUGAAGGACGCCGUAGCGGGCGAUAAUCACGGGGAGGUCGCAAACAACCUUCGAUCCGUGAGNNNNNNNNNNGGGGAAACCCACGUCAACGCGAGUUGGCGUAUCCUGCAGUGAAUACAUAGCUGCUGGAGGAAGACCUGGGGAAGUGAAACAUCUCAGUACCCAGAGGAAAAGAAAUCAAUAGAGAUUCCCAAAGUAGUGGCGAGCGAAAUGGGAGAAGCCUAAACGCACAUUCCGUGAACGGAGGUAAGGGUCGUCUUCGGACGUAUCAUGACUCUCGGGAAAGGGAUAGGCCGAUGCGAUGUGCGAGUUGUGGGGCACUACAAGACAGCGCCUAUUUGCUGUCCGUAGAAGCUGCAGUAUAGAAGAACAGGCUGGAAUGCCUGGCCAGAGCGGGUGAAAGCCCCGUAUUCGAAAUACUUCAGUCUAUGCGCGUAGUGUUCCCGAGUAGGGCGGGACACGUGAAAUCCCGUCUGAACCCGGAACGACUAUGUUCCAAGGCUAAAUAUUGUGUUUGAGCGAUAGUGAACAAGUACCGCGAGGGAAAGGUGAAAAGCAGCCCGAGAGGGCGAUGAAAUAGUUUCUGAAACCGUACACUUACAAAGAAUCAGAGCUCAAGCGCGCGCAAGCGAGUGCUGGGUGAUGGUGUGCCUAUUGAAGAAUGAGCCAACGAGUUUAUCGACUGUUGCAGGUUAAGCCCCUCUGGGGUGGAGCCACAGUGAAAGCGAGGAUUAAUAGUCCGUUUGUAGCAGCGAUAAGACCCGAAACGGUGUGAGCGACCCAUGGCCAGGCUGAAUGUUUUAGAAAUAAAACAGAAGGGCCGAACCAACCAGCUGUGCAAAACUGGUGGAUGAGCUGUGGGUAGGGGAGAAAUUCCAAUCGAACACCGUGAUAGCUGGUUCUCCUCGAAACAUCUUUAGGGAUGGCCUCGAGUAUUCCCGCCGGAGGUAGAGCUACUGAAUGAAAACAGGGGCGCAAGCCUACUUUUUUCAACCAAACUCCGAAUGCCGGCGAUUAACAACUCGGGAGUCAGACGGUGGGGGCUAAGCUCCAUCGUCUAAAGGGAAACAGCCCAGACCAUCAACUAAGGUCCCCAAAUCAAUGCUAAGUGUAAAAAGUGGUUUUGUAGCUUUGACAACCAGGAUGUUGGCUUAGAAGCAGCCACCAUUCAAAGAAAGCGUAACAGCUCACUGGUCGAGCCGCAGAGCGCUGAAAAUAUACCGGGGCUAAGCAUUGUACCGAAGUUAUGGAUGCAUGAAGGAUUCGUCCGACAUGCGUGGUAGAGGAGCGUUCCAUUCAGCAGUGAAGUUGGACCCGCGAGGGCCGAUGGAGCGAAUGGAAGUGAGAAUGUUGGCAUAAGUAGCAGAAACGGGUGUGAGAAUCACCCGCACCGUAAAUCCAAGGUUUCCUGGGCAACGCGAAUCGUCCCAGGGUUAGUCGAUCCUAAGCUCAGGCCGAAAGGCGUAGGCGAUGGAAGAGCAGGUUAAUAUUCCUGCACUAUGAUAGUGGAGUUUUGUUCGUGCGCAUCUUCAAGAUGAGAGCGGAAUUUGGUUAUGACCGUAUCGCAAGAUCGAGGUGAAGUCUUCGGAUGGAUCCAAGUUUGGUCAAGAAGGUGCCUAGAAAAGCGCGCAAAACGUUGAAAUUAUUAUAACCGUACCGGAAACCGACACAGGUGGAUGGGCAUGAAUAUGCCAAGGUGUACGAGAGAACCCUCGUUAAGGAACUAGGCAAAAAAGUAGGCGUAACUUCGGGAUAAGCCUUACCUCUCGCAAGAGAGGUCGCAGCGAAAGAUAUCAGGCGACUGUUUACCUAAAACACAGCUCCAUGCGAAACCGUAAGGUGAUGUAUAUGGGGCGAUGCCUGGCCAGUGUCCGAAUGUUAAGGUGAGGGGUUAGCCGCAAGGCGAAGCCUUAAGCUGAAGCACGGAUGAACGCCGGCCGUAACUAUAAACUUGACCGUUGUAGUUAUCAGGAUGGUAAAACGUCAAAAGCAAUUCGUGUUAAAUCUGGCUAUAUGCUGGAAACCCUGCGCAUAUCAUCGUACCGUAAGGUAACAAUCGGUGAUCGAUGCAGACAAUCAGCAGGAAAGAUCGGAAGUAAUUCCGAAAUCCUCAGAGACUAUACGCCAGAGCUCGUCCGUGAAAGCGGGGUGCGAGUAUGAUAUAGUCCGAUCUGCAUAGCGAUAUGCAGAGUGGGUGCAAGUAAUCCCACCAAUCAUGAAAAUGAUUCGUAACAGACCUUGAACGGUCCUAAGGUGAAUAAAAGCUGCCUUAGUAAAAUUCGACUAAAUGCUGGAACAACUGGAGUAUCUUGUGCUCCUAAGGUAUAAUCCCACCAUAGAUUAUGCCAAGGAAUAAUGCACAAGCGUUUCCGAGUAAGGAUCGGAAGCCAGUCAAUCAGCAGGAAAGACUAGAAAUGAGUGGUUGGAUAGUUGGAUUCACUGAUGGUGAAGGCUGCUUUUCGGUGAGCCUCAUUCGAAAUGCCACAACCAAAAUUGGUUGGCAGGUAUUUCCUGAGUUUGUAAUAACGCAAGGUGCGAAGAGUCGUACAGCACUCGAAGAAAUUCAAACUUUUUUCGAAUGUGGAAGGAUCUAUGAAAACCGGCGAUAUGACAAUCAUCGAGAGCAUCUAUUGCGAUAUUGUGUGAGAUCACUUCGUGAGCUUCGAGAACGGAUAAUCCCUUUCUUUCAGCGUUAUGAAUUGAAAACACAUAAAAAAAAUGACUUCAAAAAGUUUUGUGAAAUAAUUUCUCUUAUCGAGAAUGGACAUCACUCUACUCACGAAGGAGUAACAAAAAUCG
This 2837-nucleotide ribosomal RNA is filed under the name Candidatus Magasanikbacteria bacterium RIFCSPHIGHO2_01_FULL_50_8. Its description in RNAcentral is "bacterial LSU rRNA". The stretch from base 1 to 2090 matches the Rfam family "Bacterial large subunit ribosomal RNA". Lineage: Bacteria; Candidatus Magasanikiibacteriota. The record is from RNAcentral.